Molecule: ribosomal RNA, 369 nt
Filed under: Triticum aestivum (bread wheat)
Lineage: Eukaryota; Viridiplantae; Streptophyta; Magnoliopsida; Poales; Poaceae
Description: partial small subunit ribosomal RNA
Source: RNAcentral
AUGAGCUUCUACAGCCUUCCAGAGACUCUUCAUCACGAGAUUGCCACCGUUCAGGGGCGCUUCUUCUGGGCCGGCGAGGGUGAUAAGCAGAAAUACCACAUGGUCAGGUGGUCUGAGAGCUGCAACCCUCGCGACCAGGGCGGCCUUGGGAUCAUGUCCUCCAAACGCAUGAAUAUUGCCCUUCUGACUCGGUGGCUCUGGAGGAUUAGCAACGGAGAUGGUGGCCUGUGGCUACACAUUAUUCAACAGAAAUACCUCCGAGGCCAGCCUCCUGCCUUCUGUCAGCGAUCUGUGGGCUCCCAGUUCUGGCAAUCCAUCAUCCAGCUCCUCCCUGUCCUCCGGAUCGGGACCUCGAUCGAUAUUGGUUCC